CCUACGGGUGGCAGCAGUGGGGAAUUUUGCGCAAUGCUCGUAAGAGUGACGCAGCGAUGCCGCGUGAAUGACGAAGGCCUUCGGGUCGUAAAGUUCUUUCGACAGGGACGAAAAUGCCUAUAAGUAACUGUGUAUGUAUUGACGGUACCUGUAUAAGCAGCACCGGCUAACUCCGUGCCAGCAGCCGCGGUAAUACGGAGGGGGCGAGCGUUGUUCGGAAUGACUGGGCGUAAAGAGCACGUAGGCGGUGUGGUAAGUCAUUAGUCAAAGACUAGAGCUCAACUUUAGUACUGCAAGUGAUACUAGCAUACUAGAGUAUCAGAGAGGAUUGCAGAAUUCCAGGUGUAGCGGUGAAAUGCGUAGAUAUCAGGAGGAAUACCGGUAGCGAAGGCGGCAAUCUGGCUGGAAACUGACGCUGAGGUGCGAAAGCGUGGGUAGCAAACAGGAUUAGAUACCCUUGUAGUC
RNAcentral lists this ribosomal RNA (465 nucleotides) under uncultured bacterium. RNAcentral describes it as "partial 16S ribosomal RNA". It matches the Rfam family "Bacterial small subunit ribosomal RNA", at positions 338 to 795 of the family's 1533-position model. The record is from RNAcentral.